This 1740-nucleotide ribosomal RNA is filed under the name Salmonella enterica subsp. enterica serovar Tennessee. Its description in RNAcentral is "bacterial LSU rRNA". It matches the Rfam family "Bacterial large subunit ribosomal RNA", at positions 1220 to 2925 of the family's 2925-position model. Lineage: Bacteria; Pseudomonadati; Pseudomonadota; Gammaproteobacteria; Enterobacterales; Enterobacteriaceae. The record is from RNAcentral.
GUUGUUGGGUAGGGGAGCGUUCUGUAAGCCUGUGAAGGUGGCCUGUGAGGGUUGCUGGAGGUAUCAGAAGUGCGAAUGCUGACAUAAGUAACGAUAAAGCGGGUGAAAAGCCCGCUCGCCGGAAGACCAAGGGUUCCUGUCCAACGUUAAUCGGGGCAGGGUGAGUCGACCCCUAAGGCGAGGCCGAAAGGCGUAGUCGAUGGGAAACGGGUUAAUAUUCCCGUACUUGGUGUUACUGCGAAGGGGGGACGGAGAAGGCUAUGUUGGCCGGGCGACGGUUGUCCCGGUUUAAGCGUGUAGGUGUGUGUUCCAGGUAAAUCCGGUUCACUUUAACACUGAGGCGUGACGACGAGGCACUACGGUGCUGAAGCAACAAAUGCCCUGCUUCCAGGAAAAGCCUCUAAGCAUCAGGUAACAUCAAAUCGUACCCCAAACCGACACAGGUGGUCAGGUAGAGAAUACCAAGGCGCUUGAGAGAACUCGGGUGAAGGAACUAGGCAAAAUGGUGCCGUAACUUCGGGAGAAGGCACGCUGACAUGUAGGUGAAGUGAUUUACUCAUGGAGCUGAAGUCAGUCGAAGAUACCAGCUGGCUGCAACUGUUUAUUAAAAACACAGCACUGUGCAAACACGAAAGUGGACGUAUACGGUGUGACGCCUGCCCGGUGCCGGAAGGUUAAUUGAUGGGGUCAGCGCAAGCGAAGCUCCUGAUCGAAGCCCCGGUAAACGGCGGCCGUAACUAUAACGGUCCUAAGGUAGCGAAAUUCCUUGUCGGGUAAGUUCCGACCUGCACGAAUGGCGUAAUGAUGGCCAGGCUGUCUCCACCCGAGACUCAGUGAAAUUGAACUCGCUGUGAAGAUGCAGUGUACCCGCGGCAAGACGGAAAGACCCCGUGAACCUUUACUAUAGCUUGACACUGAACAUUGAGCCUUGAUGUGUAGGAUAGGUGGGAGGCUUUGAAGUGUGGACGCCAGUCUGCAUGGAGCCGACCUUGAAAUACCACCCUUUAAUGUUUGAUGUUCUAACGUGGACCCGUUAUCCGGGUUGCGGACAGUGUCUGGUGGGUAGUUUGACUGGGGCGGUCUCCUCCUAAAGAGUAACGGAGGAGCACGAAGGUUGGCUAAUCCUGGUCGGACAUCAGGAGGUUAGUGCAAUGGCAUAAGCCAGCUUGACUGCGAGCGUGACGGCGCGAGCAGGUGCGAAAGCAGGUCAUAGUGAUCCGGUGGUUCUGAAUGGAAGGGCCAUCGCUCAACGGAUAAAAGGUACUCCGGGGAUAACAGGCUGAUACCGCCCAAGAGUUCAUAUCGACGGCGGUGUUUGGCACCUCGAUGUCGGCUCAUCACAUCCUGGGGCUGAAGUAGGUCCCAAGGGUAUGGCUGUUCGCCAUUUAAAGUGGUACGCGAGCUGGGUUUAGAACGUCGUGAGACAGUUCGGUCCCUAUCUGCCGUGGGCGCUGGAGAACUGAGGGGGGCUGCUCCUAGUACGAGAGGACCGGAGUGGACGCAUCACUGGUGUUCGGGUUGUCAUGCCAAUGGCACUGCCCGGUAGCUAAAUGCGGAAGAGAUAAGUGCUGAAAGCAUCUAAGCACGAAACUUGCCCCGAGAUGAGUUCUCCCUGAGACUUAGAGUCUCCUGAAGGAACGUUGAAGACGACGACGUUGAUAGGCCGGGUGUGUAAGCGCAGCGAUGCGUUGAGCUAACCGGUACUAAUGAACCGUGAGGCUUAACCUUACAACGCCGAAG